GGCGAGAUGGCCGAGCGGUCUAAGGCGCUGGUUUUAGGCACCAGUCUCUUCGGAGGCGUGGGUUCGAAUCCCACUCUC
This 78-nucleotide transfer RNA is filed under the name Dictyocaulus viviparus (bovine lungworm). RNAcentral's name for it is "partial tRNA-Leu". It matches the Rfam family "tRNA". From Rfam's summary of the family: Transfer RNA (tRNA) molecules are approximately 80 nucleotides in length. Lineage: Eukaryota; Metazoa; Nematoda; Chromadorea; Rhabditida; Metastrongylidae. The record is from RNAcentral.